AGCGCCGGUAAGGUGAUAUGAACCGUUAUAACCGGCGAUACCCGAAUGGGGAAACCCAGUGUGACUCGUCACACUAUCAUUAACUGAAUCCAUAGGUUAAUGAGGCGAACCGGGGGAACUGAAACAUCUAAGUACCCCGAGGAAAAGAAAUCAACCGAGAUUCCCCCAGUAGCGGCGAGCGAACGGGGAGGAGCCCAGAGCCUGAAUCAGCAUGUGUGUUAGUGGAAGCGUCUGGAAAGGCGCGCGAUACAGGGUGACAGCCCCGUACACAAAAGCGCAUGUGCUGUGAGCUCGAUGAGUAGGGCGGGACACGUGGUAUCCUGUCUGAAUAUGGGGGGACCAUCCUCCAAGGCUAAAUACUCCUGACUGACCGAUAGUGAACCAGUACCGUGAGGGAAAGGCGAAAAGAACCCCGGCGAGGGGAGUGAAAAAGAACCUGAAACCGUGUACGUACAAGCAGUGGGAGCACAGGUUUACCUGUGUGACUGCGUACCUUUUGUAUAAUGGGUCAGCGACUUAUAUUCUGUAGCAAGGUUAACCGAAUAGGGGAGCCGGAGGGAAACCGAGUCUUAAUUGGGCGUUAAGUUGCAGGGUAUAGACCCGAAACCCGGUGAUCUAGCCAUGGGCAGGUUGAAGGUUGGGUAACACUAACUGGAGGACCGAACCGACUAAUGUUGAAAAAUUAGCGGAUGACCUGUGGCUGGGGGUGAAAGGCCAAUCAAACCGGGAGAUAGCUGGUUCUCCCCGAAAGCUAUUUAGGUAGCGCCUCGUGAAUUCAUCUCCGGGGGUAGAGCACUGUUUCGGCUAGGGGGCCAUCCCGGCUUACCAACCCGAUGCAAACUGCGAAUACCGGAGAAUGUUAUCACGGGAGACACACGGCGGGUGCUAACGUCCGUCGUGAAGAGGGAAACAACCCAGACCGCCAGCUAAGGUCCCAAAGUCAUGGUUAAGUGGGAAACGAUGUGGGAAGGCCCAGACAGCCAGGAUGUUGGCUUAGAAGCAGCCAUCAUUUAAAGAAAGCGUAAUAGCUCACUGGUCGAGUCGGCCUGCGCGGAAGAUGUAACGGGGCUAAACCAUGCACCGAAGCUGCGGCAGCGACACUGUGUGUUGUUGGGUAGGGGAGCGUUCUGUAAGCCUGUGAAGGUGUGUCGUGAGGC
This 1157-nucleotide ribosomal RNA is filed under the name Salmonella enterica subsp. enterica serovar Enteritidis. RNAcentral describes it as "partial 23S ribosomal RNA". It matches the Rfam family "Bacterial large subunit ribosomal RNA", at positions 74 to 1269 of the family's 2925-position model. Lineage: Bacteria; Pseudomonadati; Pseudomonadota; Gammaproteobacteria; Enterobacterales; Enterobacteriaceae. The record is from RNAcentral.